UACGUAGGGUGCAAGCGUUAAUCGGAAUUACUGGGCGUAAAGCGUGCGCAGGCGGUUGUGCAAGACCGAUGUGAAAUCCCCGGGCUUAACCUGGGAAUGGCAUUGGUGACUGCACGGCUAGAGUGUGUCGGAGGGGGGUAGAAUUCCACGUGUAGCAGUGAAAUGCGUAGAGAUGUGGAGGAAUACCGAUGGCGAAGGCAGCCCCCUGGGAUAACACUGACGCUCAUGCACGAAAGCGUGGGGAGCAAACAGG
RNAcentral lists this ribosomal RNA (253 nucleotides) under uncultured bacterium. RNAcentral's name for it is "partial 16S ribosomal RNA". It matches the Rfam family "Bacterial small subunit ribosomal RNA", at positions 524 to 776 of the family's 1533-position model. The record is from RNAcentral.